RNAcentral lists this ribosomal RNA (440 nucleotides) under uncultured bacterium. Its description in RNAcentral is "partial 16S ribosomal RNA". It matches the Rfam family "Bacterial small subunit ribosomal RNA", at positions 338 to 795 of the family's 1533-position model. The record is from RNAcentral.
CCUACGGGAGGCAGCAGUGGGGAAUAUUGCACAAUGGGGGAAACCCUGAUGCAGCGACGCCGCGUGAGCGAAGGAGUAUUUCGGUAUGUAAAGCUCUAUCAGACGGGAAGAAAAAGCCGGUACCUGACUAAGAAGCCCCGGCUAACUACGUGCCAGCAGCCGCGGUAAUACGUAGGGGGCCAGCGUUAUCAGGAUUUACUGGGCGUAAAGGGAGCGUAGCCGGUGCUGCAAGCCAGAUGUGAAAGCCCGGGGCUCAACCCCUGGACUGCAUUUGGUACUGUAAGGCUAGAGUGUCGGAGAGGCAGGCGGAAUUCCUAGUGUAGCGGUGAAAUGCGUAGAUAUUAGGAGGAACACCAGUGGCGAAGGCGGCCUGCUGGACGAUGACUGACGUUGAGGCUCGAAAGCGUGGGGAGCAAACAGGAUUAGAUACCCCUGUAGUC